Molecule: ribosomal RNA, 523 nt
Filed under: uncultured bacterium
Lineage: Bacteria
Description: bacterial SSU rRNA
Rfam family: Bacterial small subunit ribosomal RNA
Source: RNAcentral
GGGGAAUAUUGGACAAUGGACCACAAGUCUGAUCCAGCAAUUCUGUGUGCACGAUGACGUUUUUCGGAAUGUAAAGUGCUUUCAGUCGGGAAGAAGUCAGUGACGGUACCGACAGAAGAAGCGACGGCUAAAUACGUGCCAGCAGCCGCGGUAAUACGUAUGUCACAAGCGUUAUCCGGAUUUAUUGGGCGUAAAGCGCGUCUAGGCGGCAAGGAAAGUCUGAUGUGAAAAUGCGGAGCUCAACUCCGUAUGGCGUUGGAAACUGCCUUACUAGAGUACUGGAGAGGUAGGCGGAACUACAAGUGUAGAGGUGAAAUUCGUAGAUAUUUGUAGGAAUGCCGAUGGGGAAGCCAGCCUACUGGACAGAUACUGACGCUAAAGCGCGAAAGCGUGGGUAGCAAACAGGAUUAGAUACCCUGGUAGUCCACGCUGUAAACGAUGAUUACUAGGUGUUGGGGGUCAAACCUCAGCGCCCAAGCUAACGCGAUAAGUAAUCCGCCUGGGGAGUACGUACGCAAGUAUG